ACUUUCAACAACGGAUCUCUUGGUUCUGGCAUCGAUGAAGAACGCAGCGAAAUGCGAUAAGUAGUGUGAAUUGCAGAAUUCAGUGAAUCAUCGAAUCUUUGAACGCACAUUGCGCCCCUUGGUAUUCCAUGGGGCAUGCCUGUUCGAGCGUCAUUUGUACCUUCAAGCUCU
RNAcentral lists this ribosomal RNA (171 nucleotides) under Epicoccum nigrum. RNAcentral's name for it is "5.8S ribosomal RNA". The stretch from base 1 to 153 matches the Rfam family "5.8S ribosomal RNA". Rfam says of the family: 5.8S ribosomal RNA (5.8S rRNA) is a component of the large subunit of the eukaryotic ribosome. It is transcribed by RNA polymerase I as part of the 45S precursor that also contains 18S and 28S rRNA. Functionally, it is thought that 5.8S rRNA may be involved in ribosome translocation. The record is from RNAcentral. Lineage: Eukaryota; Fungi; Ascomycota; Dothideomycetes; Pleosporales; Didymellaceae.